GCUCCCUGAUUCAGCGGCGGACGGGUGAGUAAUGCCUAGGAAUCUGCCUGGUAGUGGGGGACAACGUUUCGAAAGGAACGCUAAUACCGCAUACGUCCUACGGGAGAAAGCAGGGGACCUUCGGGCCUUGCGCUAUCAGAUGAGCCUAGGUCGGAUUAGCUAGUUGGUGAGGUAAUGGCUCACCAAGGCUGCGAUCCGUAACUGGUCUGAGAGGAUGAUCAGUCACACUGGAACUGAGACACGGUCCAGACUCCUACGGGAGGCAGCAGUGGGGAAUAUUGGACAAUGGGCGAAAGCCUGAUCCAGCCAUGCCGCGUGUGUGAAGAAGGUCUUCGGAUUGUAAAGCACUUUAAGUUGGGAGGAAGAGCAGUAAGUUAAUACCUUGCUGUUUUGACGUUACCGACAGAAUAAGCACCGGCUAACUUCGUGCCAGCAGCCGCGGUAAUACGAAGGGUGCAAGCGUUAAUCGGAAUUACUGGGCGUAAAGCGCGCGUAGGUGGUUUGUUAAGUUGGAAGUGAAAGCCCCGGGCUCAACCUGGGAACUGCUUUCAAAACUGGCAAGCUAGAGUAUGGCAGAGGGUGGUGGAAUUUCCUGUGUAGCGGUGAAAUGCGUAGAUAUAGGAAGGAACACCAGUGGCGAAGGCGACCACCUGGGCUAAUACUGACACUGAGGUGCGAAAGC
Molecule: ribosomal RNA, 682 nt
Filed under: Stutzerimonas stutzeri
Lineage: Bacteria; Pseudomonadati; Pseudomonadota; Gammaproteobacteria; Pseudomonadales; Pseudomonadaceae
Description: bacterial SSU rRNA
Rfam family: Bacterial small subunit ribosomal RNA
Source: RNAcentral